CAGUCGCCACGGGAAUACGGAGGGCGCAAGCGUUAAUCGGAAUUACUGGGCGUAAAGCGCACGCAGGCGGUUUGUUAAGUCAGAUGUGAAAUCCCCGAGCUUAACUUGGGAACUGCAUUUGAAACUGGCAAGCUGGAGUCUUGUAGAGGGGGGUAGAAUUCCAGGUGUAGCGGUGAAAUGCGUAGAGAUCUGGAGGAAUACCGGUGGCGAAGGCGGCCCCCUGGACAAAGACUGACGCUCAGGUGCGAAAGCGUGGGGAGCAAACAGGAUUAGAUACCCCGGUAGUCCCUGUCUCUUAUAC
This 301-nucleotide ribosomal RNA is filed under the name uncultured bacterium. RNAcentral describes it as "partial 16S ribosomal RNA". It matches the Rfam family "Bacterial small subunit ribosomal RNA", at positions 509 to 807 of the family's 1533-position model. The record is from RNAcentral.